GCGGCGCCGCCCCUUAGCCGCGUCCCUGCGCCUGAGGCGGUAGUGUCCGCAGACCUGAGGCACCGGGGGCACGUGCAAUCGCAGCGGAGUGCUCUGUCCUGCCUGAGAUUCCCCAGCGUCACUGCUGGGUGGGAUUUGCUACUUCACACCAAGUACUCCCGUGUGUUUUACCCACAGCAGCGACACUCUCCCAGGUGACCACCAUUAGCCCCCAAAUCAGGUCCCUUUGUGCUUUCCUUCGUAAUUCAACAAGUGAAGGUUUGUUACUAAAGAUUGAUCCAUUGUUGCCCUAAAGAAGUAAAAACUGAAGAAAGUAGCAAAGAAGCUGCCUAAAUGUGUUGUGAAUUGUGAAAUUAUUUUUUAGUGGAUUAAGAAGCAACAGAGAAAAUUAUAAAACUGCAUAAUUUCUA
Molecule: non-coding RNA, 410 nt
Organism: Microcebus murinus (gray mouse lemur)
Lineage: Eukaryota; Metazoa; Chordata; Mammalia; Primates; Cheirogaleidae
Source: RefSeq, a predicted model, not a curated record